This 411-nucleotide long non-coding RNA is filed under the name Heterocephalus glaber (naked mole-rat). RNAcentral's name for it is "lncRNA (ENSHGLG00000039023.1)". Lineage: Eukaryota; Metazoa; Chordata; Mammalia; Rodentia; Bathyergidae. The record is from RNAcentral.
AAAUAAUCAGUUUAAUUAUGAAAUAUUAGUCGUAAACUUUAAAGUGUGCUGGAGUGACCCUUCCCCAUAACCCAUAGAUCUUAGGUUAAAGAGCGGAGUCUGACUAGACGUCCUCCCUGGGGUCUGCGCAGGGCAGUGCCCACCGGGCUCCAGGCCUCGCCUGUCAGAGUUGCGCCUGCGCCGGCUGAAGGCUUUCCCGCGACCAGACCCGCUCCUGGGUGUUCCCGCCAGUCACCUGGAGGCCCUCGCGUGGCUCCCGGUCCGCCGGUCUGCGUGGGGCCCCGCGGCCCCGCGGGUCCCUGGCACCAGGCGAUCACAGCAGCUGACGUCACGGCACGCACUGAUUUGGACAAUGAUAGCCUCUGGUCAUUCCUGGGAAGGAACUAGUUCCUCUGUGUGUGCACAAAUCCC